CACCCUCGGAUGCAGCGCAUCCGGACCCAUGGACUUGUGCUCGUUCAGCUUUUCUAAGGUCCAAACAUGGAACCAGAGCAGAUUAGGCAGUAGGAAGUGACUCCUGUUCCCACAUCUUCUGCAGAGUCUCUGAGCUAGGGUAGAGGCAGGAUCCGGAAAAACCACACCAUAAUUUACACACCUGCCAUAGUGCGGCACCUGUUACCACAAGGGUUUCCGUGCACUGCUUUGCUUGGUGGGUUUGGAACAGAGCUGGAUGAGCCUCUGCUGUGCAGACGGCAUGGGUUCAGCCCUUCCCCCUCUCCAAAUGGAGUGUGCUAGGGUCAUGGAGUCCCUCCUGGCUCUCCUGGGCCUGGAACCGGCUGUUUUACAGCCAUGACCAUGACAUCACUGUCAGCCAAGUCGAACAGCUACUGAAAGCCAUGUGGGACAAGUGUAAGAAUAGGAGGUUAGGAGCCAGGACACCUGAAUUCCAUGCCUGGGCCUGCUAUUGACUUGCACGUUUUGCAAGUGACAAAGCUGCUCUAUGCCUCAGUUUACCAACCUCAGCGGGCAUUGUGACGCUUUGCUGAUCAUUUGCCAAGUUCUUUGAGAGCUUGGGAUGAACAGCACUAUGCCAGUUUCCUAAAAGCUCAACCCACAAAAGCUGUGGUAAGAUCUGGCUGGCAUAUUACACUCAAACAACUGAUUUAAUUUGUCUUCUUAUCCAGUAGUUUUACUGACCCUGCCUGCAGUAUUGCUAUUGAUGUACUGCGUUGGUUAAAACUGAUUGGUUUGUUUGUUAAUCAUCUCAUUUAUAGUCAGUUGUAUUUGAUUUAAUUUUCCAUACCCCCCCCCCCCGAAAUAUUUAUCUAGCAGCGAUGUGCUGUGACUAGCUUUCAGAAUUUUUGUCUCUUUUAAGCUCUUCCUCUCACUGUGUUUUUGACGUGGUCCCAGAAAUGAGCAUCACUCAUGCGUUAAAAUCUUAACUCACUCUUAGUGCAAAUAAGUUCUCUGGCAAGUUCGAGGCAAUGGAUUUUAACAGAGUUGCCAAAGUAGGUGUGAGGGCACCUGGUCGUGUAAUUUAGUUCCUAUUGAUUUAUCUUGUCCCCUUUCACAGCAGCAAACUGUAAAUGCUUCCUUUGCUUCACCCACUGUUUGCUCCCUGCCUGACAAGUCUCUCGUCUAGCACUGAUGGAAUGUGUUAGUGAAAGGUGCUUGAGUCAGUGCUGAGACAGAGCUGUCAUCUAGCGCCGGCCCCGCUCUCCGGGAGCCCACGCAGUCGACUUAUAUCUGUUCAUUGUGAAAGGAAACCUUGGCUGUGUGCUGGGACGGCCAUUAGCAAAAGCCACAAACCAAACUUUAAAAGAGACAAAAACAACCCAUUUUGUGGAGUAGACAUAAAAGCAAGGUAUUGCCCAGCAACGGCCCUUUAAACAUCUGAUGGCAUGUCUUAGGAGAGAGAUAAAGUGGCUAUGGUGGUGAAUUUCUUUCUUUGAACUCAGAAUUGCUUGCUGCUGGUUUCCUUCGGAUCAUGAGCAGAAUAUGCUGUAUACAGGCAGUUAUUACUCCAAACCAUGGUUCUUUAUAGAUUCAGCAUGACAUUUUUAAAAUCCUAUUUCACCUCUGGUAGCUGAGAACUCCAGCAGCUCUUGCUUUCUCUUUAAAGCAGUGGUUCCCAAAAUCCUUACCUCAGGUCCCCCAGUCUCCUGGCUGGGGGGGUGGGGUAAGACAUGGACAGAGGUAAGGGGGCCAAGUUGGGGCAGGAGUGGAACCGUGGACAGCAGCCACGGCUGGGAGCAGAUCCCCGGGCGCUCCCUCCCUGCUGGCCAAGGCCCCAGCCACACCCCGCCCCCACAAAUGUUCCUCUGUGCCAAGGGGGGCACACCGCACAGAUUGGGGACCUCUACUUUAGAGACAUCUUCUUUGUGCAGUUGGGAAUUUACCUACCCUACUGAAGUUAUAAUUUAUUUUCCAUGGGCAGAAAGGAGGUUUUAUGGGUGAGGCCCUGGGUGGGGGCUCAGAAUAUCUGGAUUAAUCUCUACCACAGGCUUUCCGUGUGACCCCUGGGGCAAGCCCCUUUCAGUAAAAUUUUCAAAAAGGCCUACAGCCCAGAACCUCCAAAGCGUGUAGGUGCCUAACUACCUUUGAGGAGCUAAGACUGAAUGACUUAGUACCUACGAGACAUCAAUGGGACGUGGGUGAGCAGUUACACAAUGUGACUAAAAAGCUCACAAUCUUGCCUUUAACAAACACGUUAUAAUAGGCCCUGAUCCUGUCCCAACAUGCUAAAGACUCUAUUCCAGUUGUUUGUGGAUUCCCGCUCAUUAUAGGGGUAGCAAUCACAUUUUUUUGCGCAUGCAGCAAGAAGUCAGGAGUGGAACUCUUUGAUGGCUGUAUUGUGUAAUGAUCAUUCACUCUUUCUUCAGCUUUAAUUAUGUGCCACUCUGGUUUUAAAAAUAAUGAAGGGGAAAAAACAAAACUAUUUUUUCAAGUUUUUAUUAAUGUAAAAAAAUGUUGUUUUAGGUGCAUUUUCCAAAAUGGCCCAAACAGCUGCCCUGCCUCCUAUCCCAUAGCUGGGAAAUCCUGCAUGCUCAUGUGAAACAGAGCUGUGCAGGGAUUGGCAUUUGUCAGGCUGUCAAAUCAGCAAACUUCUGAUUUUGCCCCUUCCUGAAUUACAGGCUUGCUUUCAGCAAAUGACCGGUUUUAAAAAGUCAAGCCAAGCCUCGUUUCAAAGGCUGAGAAAUAAAUCUCUCAUAAAUCAGCAUAUGUGGAUUUUAUUUAUAAAGCUAUAAUUCAAUUUUGUUCUAUAAUUGCAAUAUACAGUGUGUAUAUAUAUCUAUAGAUAUAUAGAUACAGUAUUUUCUUUCUGGCCAUAAACACAAGCAAUAAACCAUAUAAUUCUCCUCUUCUGUACUGUACUUUUUUCUGCCUGUACUGCUGAAGUGAUAUCUUACCCCUUUGUAUUCACUUCCACUGCCCUAUAGAAUUUUUAGUGUAUGUUACAGUUUGGUUUGGCGCUAGUCCAACAAAGUGAUCUGCUUUUUUCAUAAUGCACAUAAAGCCAUACAAAUAAUCCAAGCACAGAAAAUACACACAGUAUUGCCAGCCCCAACCAUUCAACAGUUAUGAGUUGGGCCCUCAAAAAUUCUGAUUUUUCCCCCUAAAUAUCUCAUUAUUUUUAAAGGCAACUUUUUUAUUUGUCUUCUGGCCUUUGAAACUUUCAGGUUACACUUGAGUCAUGUUUUCAAGCUAUUCUCUAAAACCACAAGAGCGAGAAACUUUUUUUUUUAAUGAAUGCUGAGAUUCUCACGUACUAACAGGACUCCAGAAGCUAGGACUUUAAAAAUAUCAUGAGGCUUAUGAUAAAAUCAUGACAGCUGGCAACACUGUGGGUGAAAUUCACCCCCCCAGUACAAUUCCAGUUGUCCUAAAUCAGUGGUCUUCCCCCUUUUCCAGCCCAAGACACCCUCAGAUGGGUUUAUCUCAGCUAACCAGGAACUAGUUGAGACCUCCCUCCCAUUUAGCAGUAUCAGAAAGACAAGGAGGUCACUACCCACUGCCUGUUUGCAACCCAUGCCAAGAAUCAUUUAGUUAAUUUAUUACGUGAAACGAUCUUGCCUGAUCACUGGAGAGCAACCACCAUCCAUCUUGUUACCAGAGGCAGGUAAAGCUGAUGCAGUCCUCAGUUAAGAAGAUGCUAAGCACCCACAACUCUGGCUGAAGUGAAUGGAAACUAUGGGUGCUCAGCACUGCUGCUAACCAGACCUUGAGCCUGCAGUCCCAAGUCCGCCGAGCCUGCCACAGCUGGUCCUGCAGUUACAGCUGGGGCAUGGAGGGUGAAACAACCCAGAGGUAGCCUGUGAGGCCACACACAGUCAUAUUUUUCGAUUUUGGAAGGUCUUCCUGCAUGCAGAGGACCCCCUGUUCCUUAGCCUGUCAUUUCAGAACCCUCCCACCGCUCAUAUGUGCAGAGGGACCUAACUGAUUAAGCAUGCAGAGAUGUGAAGCUGAGAUGCCUACCCCAAAAUCCAAGCCUUGGGUCUCACCAAACACUCUAUGUUGCAGGGAAGGGACCCUCUGCAGUAUAGAUCUGUCCCUGAUGGAUCACCUGCCUUGCUGCCUGUAUGGAAUGCUACAGCUUCCCUGGGGAAACGGGAGAGGACCAGAAGCAGUUUGUGCUGUAGCCAGCAAGGUUAGAUAAAAAAGCUCUUAGGUGAUAGAUAUCUGGCCACUCCAGCCCAACCCGUCACAGGGCACAAAUGCAAUGUACUAACAAAUCGAGGUGCCAGAUCUAUUUCUGGGGCGGUGCCUGAGGUGCACAGAGCCAGCUGAUGCUGGAGGUAAAUGAGACAUUAAAUCUUGCAACGUACUGUACAUUCUUCAGCACUUUGGGCAAGACUCCUCUCAAUUUUUGACGACUCCCAUGAAUUCACUUGAACAACAGGACUUGAACCUUCAGGUUAGUUUUUCCUUCUCUAAUUUGUGAUUAAUCUGGAAUAAGACAGAAAUUUGGGGCUUGCUUCUCCCUUCACUGCCAUUCCCAUCACUGGAAGUUUGCCAACUGAGGAGUCUGGUUCUACCUUUCUUUGCACCCCCAAAACUCACACUGAACCCAGCAGUGGGUGAUUUGGGAUGCAGGGGCAGACCCUUUAUCCCUCUCCUUUGUUUAAUCUUUGCCACCCAUGCCUGUUUUUUCAUACUGAGAACAUGGGAAAGAUUUAGGCUGAGAUUUCAAAGUCCCACCUUUGGACAGUCAGUGGGAUUUAGGCACCUAACUCCCUUCGGCCCCCUUUGGGAAUUCGCGAUGUAGGGCUUGGCUGCAUGCAGGAUUCCACUGGUUUAACUUGAGGUGUGAUUUUAAACCACUUUAUUGAAACCAGUGCUAAAGGCUAUGUGGCCACUUCGUUCAGUUUGACCUAGGCUUGUUGUGUCAGCGUCAGCUGAUCAGGAAUCGCUUUAAGCUAAACUGAAACAGAUUGAAAGAAGAGGGUCCACACACUUGCUUAAUUAAACCAUCUUACUUAAGUCAGUGCAAGUUUGUGUGUAAACAAGCCUUUAUACUAUCCCCUCCCCACCCCCCGCACCUCAUUCCUGAUCAAAUCCUUCAUCUUUGACCUGUCUGCUUUGGCCGGAGAGGGUGGAAAAGGUGUUUGUUGAGUACUGGGUUGUUCCAGCUCUCCUGGUAAAGCUCCUAUCUUUUCAAAUCAAGCCUCAAUGCACUUUAAGGCACUGUCUACAUAAGACAGUUGCACACCUUGUAAUUAAAAUCAGUUUUUAAACACUUGUUUUAAAUCAGUGGACAAACUCAUUUUGCUUUAAGGGGGACAUAGUACAGUUUAUUCUGAUUCCUAAAGGAUUUAAGCUAAACUAAAACAAGCCUGGUAAAAUAAGCAACAAAAUGUGUGUCUGGGAUAUGCAGCUGCUAGAUAACCGUACCAGCCACCUUUAUGGCAACUGAAUGGUGUUAAGAUUGUUCCAUGUGAAUAUAGCUACUGGAAAAGAGCCAGUAUCCGUGAGGAAAUAAUACACACCCUCUCUCUCUCUCUCUCUCUCUCUCUCUCUCUCAGAUUGUAGUUAUCUAUUCUGGGAUCUAUCCCUGGAGACAAUACCUUGUAGGCUGACAACCUUGCUGAUGAGGCUCUGAUCCUACCAAGUAUAGCACCUGGCUGCACUCGUCUGGCUGUGUGCUUCAUAUUGCAGGAUCAGGUCCUUGGGACAGAGAGAGCUGCAGCCUUUGUGUUGGCGAAAGCUGCAACCUGCCCACUUGUAACCUCUGCUCUACCUGCAGAAGAGAUGGACCAUGGAGCAAGACAGAGGCGACACACUGGCAUUAUUGAGGGAAGGGGCUGCUCCCGCAGAGCACAUCUAGGGCAGAGAAAUGCAAGUGGGAAAGAAAAGAACAGCUCAGACAGGAGGAAGGACGGUCUUGUGGUUAAAGCAUUAGAUUGAGACUCCUGGAAUCUGGUUCUGUUUCCAGAGUCACUUGUAAUCUUGGGCAAAUCAAUUAAUCUCUGGGGGCCUCAAUUCUCCAUCUGUCAGAUGAGGGAUAAGAAUAUGGGGAGGGACAGUUCAGUGGUUUGAGCAUUGGCCUGCUAAACCCACAGUUGUGAGUUCAAUCCUUGAGUGGGCCACUUAGGGAUCAGGGCAAAAAUUGGGGAUUGGUCCUACUUUGAGCAGGGGGUUGGACUAGAUGACCUUCUGAGGUCCCUUCCAACCCUGAUAUUCUAUGAUUCUAUGUCCCUGCCUCAUGUGAGGAGUCGGAGGAUAAACUUAGGCACUAUGGUGAUGGAGCCAGAGCUAGAUAUCUGUGCAGAGCUCUCUUGAGUGUUUCUAAUGGAGGAAGCUAAGAACUUUUGGAGGAGCGAGCAAACAAACAUAUUGACAGGACAGACUAAGACAGUAAAGGAGCAUUUAAAAGGCCAAACAAAGCAAUGGGAAAAUUGACCAUAUUUUAACAUUGGAGAAGCACGUUCUGCAACCAGCUAGCUGGAACAGCUGGAACAGUGAGGGAGCCGUUACUGACUGGGUCAUUUUCGUCCGUUGAUACACUCUACCUGACAGGAUGAUGGAAAGAUGAGAAUCAACAAGCAACUACAGGAAUCAAAGGGAAGUUUCAAAUUGCAAUAAAUUACCAACCAUCAAAGCUGAAAUAUGUGUGUGUGUGUGGGGUGUUUAUACUUAAAACUCUGUUUGGGGAGGAGUCAGAUGAAAUUGACUGUCAGGAUUCUUAGGAACGUGCUGAGAGAAAGCAGACUAUGUAUACUGGAACAGGACGUAUCACUAAGCAAUAAGGACCUAAGGCAACUGGUAAUUUGGCGGAGAGCAAGAUUCCAUCUAAGUGCCUUUCCCUACCUUUGGGAAUGGAAAAUACGAUGCUGAUCCAGUACAGUCCCUUUGCCAAGUGUGAAGGCAUGGAGCCUGAUUCUCCUCUAAUUUAUAACCGUCUUAGGAGUAACUGACUGAAGUCCAUGGAAUUACAGAACACUGGUGUAAAACCAGUGGAGAUCAGAAUCAGGCCCCAGAAUCCUGCUGCAGAUGCUCUUGUAUUUGUUAGAUCACGACAGAGAGGAGGUGACUCAUCACUGAAUAGCGAAAUGCAGUGAUUCUGAAGGAGAGGUCCCACACAAUGUACACAUAAGACACAAAGAUUGAGGACAAAUCAAUUUUGUUAAUUAGAGAACUACCUAGAACUUGAUACUUUUUUUCCAGUACAAACCGCAAUGAUGCCUAGCUCUUAUAUAGAGCUUUUGAUCAGUACAUCUCAAAGCAUGUUACAAAGGAGGUCACUUAUCAAUAGACCCAUUUUACAGAGAGGGAAAGUGACUUUGCCAAGCCUUUUCCAGAUGUUUUUGGAAGAUCUGUUGGGAUCCACACUAAGACCAUCAGACUCAAGAAAAUGAUUUGUGUAUAGGUAGCAUGUGAGCCCACUAACUUAGAUGUUAAUUAUUCCAUUGACUUCCUAUUCCUCCUGACACCCUAGGGUGAAAUGUUGCCUAGUAAAUCACCGUGUUGUUGCUGAAGAUAUUUCUACAAACAAAGGGAAUGGUUUGAUUUAUUUAAAUCAGAAAUUCUUUAUAUUCAAAAUGAGCCAAAUUAUCUUCUGUUAUUGGUGUAAAUCCAGAGUAGCUCAACCAGUUAGACCAUGUAACAGAACCCUGUUGUUUAAUUUCAGUGAAGUAACACUGGAUUUACACUGGUGUAACUAAGGCCACGUCUACACUACCCGCCGGAUCGGCGGCUAGUGAUCGAUCUAUCGGGAAUCGAUUUAUCGUGUCUAGUGUAGACACGAUAAAUCGAUCCCUGAUCGCUCUGCCGUUGAAGCGGAGUUGACGGGGGAAUGGCCGCCGUUGAUCCCGCACCGCGAGGAUGUGAAGUAAGUGAUUCUAAGUCGAUCUAAGAUACAUCGACUUCAGCUACGCUAUUCUCGUAGCUGAAGUUGCGUAUCUUAGAUCGAUCUCCCCCCCCCCGGAGUAGACCAGGCCUGAGAGGAGAAUUUGUUUAGAUUAGCUUCUCCUAGCUAUUUCAAAACAACAGCAUAUGAAUUUUCAGUGCAAGGAUAGGAAUGAGAACUUAGCAAGACAGCCAUUUUGCACCCUACCCUAUGGGCAUCAGAGCAACCAACCUUCAUCUUUUUUUUUUAAUUCAAACAACUCUCCUGAAAAGGCUUUCUGUUCCUGCAUGCAGUGUGAAAUUCUGCAGGGCUCACCUGGCUCGUUUCCUUUCGGAGUUAGCUUUUAUUACUGAACACUUAUUUAAAAUGGAGAAUAGGGUGGGGUGGGGGAAAUAAAACUAGACACAGAAAAGAAAAUCAAGCAUUUGUAAAAACAUGGCAUGGUUUUUCCAUACAUGCUUCACCCAUGAGUCAGGGGCCAUAUUGUGCACUGACAGAUCUGCAAACCUGCUCUGACAUGUGGGCAAAAGUUUUAGGUGAGCACAUCCCAGCAUGUGAAAAACACAGACAGAGACCAAAGGGAAAACAAUUCCACCCCACAUGCAUGCAGAUAGGAACUUUGUUCCAUGCAAUUUUUUUCCAUAAGGUCAGAGAGCUGCUUUUCUGCUCCACGCCCUGAAGAUCGUACACUUGCUGGGAGGCAGAGUCUAGCAUUCUAGCAGGGUCCUGACAUAGGCAGGGUCCUAUGGGUGCAGUUACAAAAAUAAUCAACAUUGCUCAUGCUUCAAUACUUGCCUUUACUGCCACAUUUCCCCUACUGAGAAUGGGAAACAAGACUCAUUUCAUGGCAAACUUAUUUUAACUGAUUUGUUUUGUGUCACCCAUUAGACUAUAAAGAUCAUCCAUCAUAUUAUGAAACGGGUGCACACCUUUCCCUACCUGGUCAGGACAAUCUGGCUGAAUCUCCACCCAAAAAGCAUCUUUCAAAAGCCAGGAAGUUAUUUUUCAGUGGCUUGAAUUGUGAUUUAUAGAUUGGUUUAUUAGGCUGACUUUCCUGAAAGUUCUUAAUUAAACUUUAAGAGUGAGAAAUUAAUCACCAGCAUGGUUAUUUUAUUAUGCAUGUUCAGUAAACAUAAAACUGCUUGAAAUUUACAUAAUGUCUAACUGAAAACUCUUUAGUAGCCAUAAUUAAACUCUGAUUAUUUA
Long non-coding RNA from Chelonia mydas (Green sea turtle), 9079 nucleotides. RefSeq lists it as uncharacterized. The transcript has 3 exons. The record is from RefSeq and is a predicted model, not a curated record. NCBI's taxonomy places the organism in Eukaryota, Metazoa, Chordata, Testudines, Cheloniidae.